This 110-nucleotide transfer RNA is filed under the name Cercis chuniana. Its description in RNAcentral is "tRNA-Asp". It matches the Rfam family "tRNA". Rfam says of the family: Transfer RNA (tRNA) molecules are approximately 80 nucleotides in length. Lineage: Eukaryota; Viridiplantae; Streptophyta; Magnoliopsida; Fabales; Fabaceae. The record is from RNAcentral.
GGGAUUGUAGUUCAAUUGGUCAGAGCACCGCCCUGUCAAGGCGGAACCCGUAGCUUCCGCCUUGACAGGUAUAAGAGACAGAGCUGCGGGUUCGAGCCCCGUCAGUCCCG